AUUGAACGCUGGCGGCAGGCUUAACACAUGCAAGUCGAGCGGGGUGAUGGUGCUUGCACUAUCACUUAGCGGCGGACGGGUGAGUAAUGCUUAGGAAUCUGCCUAUUAGUGGGGGACAACAUCUCGAAAGGGAUGCUAAUACCGCAUACGUCCUACGGGAGAAAGCAGGGGAUCACUUGUGACCUUGCGCUAAUAGAUGAGCCUAAGUCGGAUUAGCUAGUUGGUGGGGUAAAGGCUUACCAAGGCGACGAUCUGUAGCGGGUCUGAGAGGAUGAUCCGCCACACUGGGACUGAGACACGGCCCAGACUCCUACGGGAGGCAGCAGUGGGGAAUAUUGGACAAUGGGGGGAACCCUGGUCCAGCCAUGCCGCGUGUGUGAAGAAGGCCUUAUGGUUGUAAAGCACUUUAAGCGAGGAGGAGGCUCUUUUGGUUAAUACCCAAGAUGAGUGGACGUUACUCGCAGAAUAAGCACCGGCUAACUCUGUGCCAGCCGCCGCAGUAA
RNAcentral lists this ribosomal RNA (503 nucleotides) under uncultured bacterium. RNAcentral describes it as "partial 16S ribosomal RNA". It matches the Rfam family "Bacterial small subunit ribosomal RNA", at positions 30 to 523 of the family's 1533-position model. The record is from RNAcentral.